RNAcentral lists this microRNA (23 nucleotides) under Schmidtea mediterranea. Its description in RNAcentral is "sme-miR-216-3p". Its record names the gene sme-miR-216-3p. The record is from miRBase by way of RNAcentral. Lineage: Eukaryota; Metazoa; Platyhelminthes; Tricladida; Dugesiidae.
CUCCUAUAACGUCUGAUGAUUAC